RNAcentral lists this transfer RNA (70 nucleotides) under Hoplodactylus sp. Otago Southland. RNAcentral describes it as "tRNA-Trp". Lineage: Eukaryota; Metazoa; Chordata; Lepidosauria; Squamata; Diplodactylidae. The record is from RNAcentral.
AGAAACUUAGGUUAAGUAUAAACCAAGAGCCUUCAAAGCCCUAAAUAAGAAAGCACACUCUUAGUUUCUG